This 109-nucleotide ribosomal RNA is filed under the name Microcebus murinus (gray mouse lemur). Lineage: Eukaryota; Metazoa; Chordata; Mammalia; Primates; Cheirogaleidae. The record is from RNAcentral.
AUCUAUGGUCAUAUUACCCCGAACUUGCCUCGUCUUGAAAACUAAGCAGAGUCAGGCCUGGUUAGUACCUCAAUGAGAGACUGCCUGGGAAUAUUGAGUGUUGCAGACU